RNAcentral lists this ribosomal RNA (301 nucleotides) under uncultured bacterium. RNAcentral describes it as "partial 16S ribosomal RNA". It matches the Rfam family "Bacterial small subunit ribosomal RNA", at positions 509 to 809 of the family's 1533-position model. The record is from RNAcentral.
CAGUAGCCGCGGUAAUGCGGAGGGUGCAAGCGUUAUCCGGAUUCACUGGGUUUAAAGGGUGCGUAGGCGGGCAGGUAAGUCAGUGGUGAAAUCUUCGAGCUUAACUCGGAAACUGCCGUUGAUACUAUCUGUCUUGAAUAACAUUGAGGUGAGCGGAAUAUGUCAUGUAGCGGUGAAAUGCUUAGAUAUGACAUAGAACACCGAUUGCGAAGGCAGCUCACUAAACGCUCAUUGACGCUGAGGCACGAAAGCGUGGGGAUCAAACAGGAUUAGAGACCCCUGUAGUCCCUGUCUCUUAUAA